AUCAGUCAUAAUUCUAGUUAUUAAAGUGUUGUAUGUCACAGCAGUAACCAAGUUUCUUUGUCAAUUGCAUUGUAAUCAGAUUUUAAAGGUGCCUUAAAUCUUUUGUCAUUAUAGACAGUUAUGGUUUCACUCUGAUGCUUUUACAAAAAUGCUUCCUCUUCAAGAAGAUUUCCAGAAAGGACUUUUUGACAAAUACAGGUUUCUGACUUUCAGACCAUAACACUGAACUGGGUAAGAAAUUAAAGAAUUCUAAUGGGAAACCUGAUGGCUUCAUAAAACUGUUAACAGUGUAGGACUGAGUGAACUGGUGACUAUGGCUAUAAUUUUUAUGGUUUCUGUCUGAGAAAUAAUUGGUUUUAGUCUGUGUUUUCCAGAUAUAAGGAAACCCUUCUCCUCAAGCUAAUUAUGACUUAUAGCAAUUUGGUAAAUUAUACCUUUGUAAGCAGAAUUGAAACAUUUAUCUUGCCUCUCUAUCUGAUCCCUCCAGAGACUGGAAAUGCGUAGGUUCCCAGGAGCUUUAUCAGAUAAAUUAGGAAGGACACCUCCUAACAGGUGCAGGAAUCUCAAGGUAUUUGGGGGACCGUGAAAAAGGAGGAAUUCACCUAAAUCUGUAAGACAACGUCUGUGACAAGCUGUUGGCGUGACUUUCGUAGCCCUGAGAGGCCUUUUAAAAGUUCAAUCUGAGACUCCUUAUAAAAGUUCUAGCAAAGCCAUUUUUUUAAAAAAAGAAAAGCCUAUAUGAUCAAUUACAUUUAUAUAAAUCAUCAGGCCAAGUUUAUUGAGACUAGACUUACUUUACAAAUUGGUCUUAAUUUGGCUAUAUUUGGUAGAAAUAAGGGUAAUUUUAGAAAAAGUUAUGUUUCAGUGAAUAUUAAAUUCUAGUUUUGUUGAGGUCUGCAUUUACUGCCUAAGACUGACUUCUCAGUUCCUUGCUGUUAUAUUAAAUUUAACUGAGUCAUUAAUAGGACACUCUUAAGUCUGUUUCUGAAGCUUAUCUAUCUUUGGAUGAAGAUCAGAUGUCCCAAGACCUGUAACCAGGUCAUUAUGUGUACUGGAAAAAGACAUCUUUUAAAGGACCAUCUCCAGCCUAGAUGGAAAGACCCUUAUCAGGUACUCUGCACUAGCUCAUGCACAGCAAAACUGAAGGGAAUUGACUCUUGGAUUAAUAUUUUCACAUAGAAAGGGCCCCUGCACUGGACUGGUCUAUAGAGAGGGCUGCUGAUGUCAAAAUCACCUUGAAACAACGCUCAAAGAGAGGAGAAACUACACUCAUACCAGGAUGAGAAGAAGACAACAUUGGAAGUAGACAGCUGACCUAAGAUGCUGCACCUGACCCGCUGCAAGACUCUUCACUUGAGGCUUUCAACCAUAUUCUCCUCUUGUCAAACAACUAAACUACACCUAUGCUUGAUGGAAAUUAAACAGCUGGUGCUCAGAGUACUACAAUUACAAAGAGAGGGAAAGCGUCAACCCACAGAAGCUGUUACAUGUGACCGCGUGUGACGGGACCUGAUCUCCCUGUUUUACUUAUUUGACUUCAGGGGCAGGGAGCUGCCAAAGCCCCCGCAGUGGAACGGGGAGCUUUAGGAUCAGUUUAGGUCUGCCGUGGAUGCCGUAUGGACCAUGCUUGUUGGACACGUGGGACGUCACGUCGGUGCUCCCAAGCCUUGGUGCCUCGUGGAUUUAUGCAUGUGACAGUGAAAAUAAAUUAAAACACCGUGAGACGGAACCUAAGAAGAACGACCUGCAGGUAUUGAGGCGGGGCAGUGGGCUCAUCUGCCUGCAGCCGAGGCACCGGGUUUGAGGAUGCCCGGCAGCUUGUCGGAGCCUGGCACCUUCCAGGGCCCUGGCGCGACAGCAGCCUUGCGCGCAGGGGUUCCCCCCGGGGGCCUGGGCCCCGCACGUGUGCCUGCCCUGCCCUCAGCCUCCCGCACACCCCUGCCGCGGCCUGGGCCCACAAACGCAGGUGCCACUCCAGGGCCUUCGCGCCGGCCAAGCUCGGGGCCCACUGUGGCAUGCAGCCCCUCCUUGCUGCUGGCCCGCGCUGCGUCCACUGCUGUGGGCCCGGGUGCCCUGGCCUCUGAGGAGGGCCUGCUGGCCUCAGGCUGCCCCUGGCCACCAGGCACCUCCGCGAGCCUCGGCUGCACGGCCCUCUGCGGGCUUGCCGAAAGCUCGCUCUGCUCCCCGAGGCGCUGCUUCUUCUGGCUGCCGGCUGAAAGCUCCUUUGGUUUCCUAACGUCGUGUUCCCUUUUGAUAUCCCAAGUUGGGUCUGGGCUUAUCUGGUUGUUCGGGUCGGAUGGUGGGGCUGGAUGUGAUGGAGAGAAUGGAGAGAGGAUGUCCUCGAGGGAGACGCCUACUUCCGGCAGACCUGGGGAGGCGGCAGCGGGAGAACUCCAGGAGCUGGAAUCGUCUGUGGGGCAGGAAGCACAGGCAUUAGAGCCGUGCAGCACAUGCUUUUCACACUCCCACCACCUCCCUCCCCAUUGGGAAUGAGAGCAGGCGGCCAGGGGCCACUCCUCGCGAGGUCCCAGGCCACUGCCACCCCCCACCCUCACUGCCAGGAGGGCAGCUGACCUUAUCCCUCGGGAUUCUAUGUUCCCCAUCCUCUUUACGCCACCCCUUCCCUCUUUGGGUGUUCAGGAAAGUGGUUACAAAGCUCAGGCCUAACCCAUCCCUUUGCCCCUUCUAACUUGCUGCAGUGUCAUCAGGUCUGCCAGCCCUGUGUGGAUAUCUGACUUGGGAGCACCUGAAUCAGUGGUUCUCAAACUCAAGGAUACAUGUGAAUCACCUGGGGCAGCUGUGAAAAAUACAGAUUCCUCAGUGGUCAGACCCAGAGAUUCCAGUAGGAUAGGGCCAAAGAAUUUCUCUGCAUUUUUAACAGGCACCCAGGUAAUUCGGAAAAUGGUUGGGGGAGUAACUAACUUUCUCAAACAUUAGGUGUCACUCAAGACAUAAUUCUUAGCUACCACCAGAUACAGAAUUUGGAUAAAUUCAUCUAUAAAAAGGUUCAUUAUUCCGUUCAGGGACAGAGGUGGGCGGCCGGAACAGGCUGGUGCAGAAGGAGGAACGCUUUUGUGAGGUUUUGCCUGCAGGUGUUAGAAAGUUUUGCAGAAACUUUGACUUCCUGGAUGGACACCCUUUAGGAGCUCUUUCCCAUAUAUAUAUAUCUCUCCAACUUUCCUUUGAGGUUAUAUUGUCAAAUUUGUGUUCCAAGAUUCAAACAGGUAAUAUGAAGCUGCCUAUUAGAUGUUCAAACUUUAUGGUUAAAACACAGGUUAUUUUAUUCUGCAAGAACCUGAGGUUGGUUGGAGACAAGAUGGCAGAGUAAAAGGACCUUGAGCUCACCUCCUCUCACAAGCAUGCCAAAAUCACAACUAACUAACUGCUAAACAACCAUUGAUAAAAAAGACUGGAAUCUACCAAAAAAACGAUAUUCUGCAUCCAAAGACAUAAGAAGAAACCAAGAGAUGGUAGGAGGGGUGCACUCGUGAUAUAAUCAAAUCCCAUAUGACCCAGGUGGGUGACCCACAAACUGGAGAAUGAUCAUAUCACAAAAGUUCUCCCACCAGCAAGAGAGCCUCUGAGCCCCAUGCCAGGCUCCCCAGCCUAGAGGUCUGACAUGGGGAGGUGGAGCCCCCAGAGUAUUUGCCUUUGAAGACUAGCAGGGCUUGAGUGCAGGAGCCCCACAGUCCUGGGGGAAACAGAGACUCCACUCUUGGAGUGUGCACACAAGGUACUGUAUGCAACAGGACCCAGGGCAAAAGGAGUAACUCCAUAGGAGCUUGGGCCAGACCUACCUGCUGGUCUUGGAGAGCCGCCUGCAAAGGUGGGGGCAGCUGUGGCUCUUUCUGGGGUCAUAAAAGCUGGUGAUGGACAUAGCAGGGACCUAUGUGAACUCUGGCUGGAGGCAGAGAUUUUGGGCCCUUGGCACCAAGACCUGGUCCCCCAAACACUCUGUAGGCUCCAGCACUGGGACGCCUCAGGCCAAACAACCAACAGGGUGGGAACACGGCCCCACCCAGCAGACAGACAACAGUCACCCAAGUCCAGGAAGCGCAGAGAGUCCCAUACAGGACUAACCCAAGGAGGAACACGCUGAGACACAGAGCAAAGAGGAAAUAUUAAAAGCAACAAGGGAAAAGCCAAAAAUUACAUACAAGGGAACCCCCAUAAGAUUAGCAGCUGAUUUUUCAGCAGAAACUCUGCAGGCCAGAAGGGAGUGGCAGGGCAUAUUUAAAGUGAUGAAAGGGAAAAAUCUACAACCAAGAUUACCCAGCAAGGACCUCAUUCAGAUUCAAUGGAGAAAUUAAAAGCUUUACAGACAAGCAAAAGCUAAGAGAAUUCAGCACCACCAAACCAGCUCUACAACAAAUGCUAAAGGAACUUCUCUAAGUGGAAAAGACAAGGCCACAACUAGAAACAAAAAAAGUAUGAAAUGGGAAAGCUCACUGAUAAAGGCAGGAAAUCAUCCACACACAAAUAUGAUAUCAAAAUCAGUAAUUGUGAGACGAGGAGAGCACGAAUGCAGCAUACUUGAAAUGCACUUGAAAUUAAGAGAUCAGCAACUUAAACAACCAUGUAUACAUACAGACUGCUAUAUCAAAACCUUACGGUAACCACAAACGAAAGUCUAUAAUAGAUAUACACACACACACACAAAAGGAAUCCAAAGACAACACUAAAGAUAGUCAUCAAAUCACAAAAGAACAAAAAAGGAAGAAAAAAGACCUACAAAAACAAAUCCAAACAAUUAAGAAAAUGGCAAUUAGAACAUACAUAUUGGUAAUUACCUUAAAUGUAAAUAGAUUAAAUGCUCCCACCAAAAGACAUAGACUGGCUGAAUGGAUACAAAAACAAGACAUGUAUAUAUGCUGUCUACAAGAGACCCACUUCAGACCUAGGGACACAUACAGACUGAAAGGGGAUGGAAAAAGGUAUUUCAUGCAAAUGGAAAUCAAAAGAAAGCUGGAAUAGCAAUACUCAUAUCAGACAAACUAGACUUUAAAAUAAAGACUGUUACAAGAGCCAAGGAAGGAAACUACAUAAUGAUCAAGGGAUCGAUCCAAGAAGAAGAUAUAACAAUUGUAAAUAUUCAUGCACCCAAUAUAGGAGCACCUCAAUAUAUACAACAAAUGUUAACAGACAUAGAAGGAGAAAUUGACAGUAACACAAUCAUAGUGGGGGAUUUUAACACCCCACUUAAAUCAAUAGAUCAUCCAGACAGAAAAUCAAUAAGGAAACGCAGGCCUUAAAUGACAUAUUAGACCAGAUGAACUAAAUUGAUACUUAAAGAACAUUCCAUGCUAAAGGAGCAGAACAUACAUUCUUCUCAAGUGCACAUGCAACAUUCUCCAGAGUAGAUCACAUGUUGGGCCACAAAGAAAGUCUUGAUAAGUUUAAGAAAAUUGAAAUCAAAUGAAGCAUCUUUUCCAACCACAACACUAUGAGUUUAGAAAUUAACUUGAAGAAAAAAAAUGCAAAAAACACAAAUACAUGGAGGAUAAACAAUCUGCUACUAAAUAACCAAUGGAUCACUGAAGAAAUCAAAGAGGCAAUCAAAAAAUACCUAGACAAAUGAAAAUGAUCCAAAACCUAUGGGAGACAGCAAAAGCAGUUCUAGGAGGGAAGUUUGCAGCAAUACAAUCUUACCUCAAGAAACAUGAAAAAUCCCAAACAACCUAACCUUACACCUAAAGCAACUAGAGAAAGAAGAACAAACAAAACCCAAAGUUAGUAGAAGGAAAGAAAUCAUAAAGAUCAGAUCAGAAAUAAAUGAAAAAGAAAUGAAGGAAACAAUAGCAAAGAUCAAUAAAACUAAAAGCUGGUUCUUUGAAAAGAUAAACAAAAUUGAUAAACCUUUAGCCAGACUCAUCAAGAAAAAGGAUAGGACCCAAAUCAAUAAAAUUAGAAAUGAAAAUGGAGAAGUUACAACGGACACCGCAGAAAUACAAAGGCAUCCUAAGAGACUACUAGAAGCAACUACAUGCCAAUAAAAUGGACAACCUGGAAGAAAUGGACAAAUUCUUAGAAAGGUACACUCUCCCAAGACUGAACCAGGAAGAAAUAGAAAAUAUGAACAGACCAAUUAAAAGUACUGAAAUUGAAUCUGUGAUUAAAGAACUCCCAACAAACAAAAGUCCAGGACCAGAUGGCUACACAGGCGAAUUCUACCCAACAUUCGGAGAAGAGGUAACACCUAUCCUUCUGAAACUAUUUCAGAGAAUUGCAGAGCAAGGAACACUUCCCAAACCCAUUCUAUGAGGCAACCAUCACCCUAAUACCAAAAUCAGACAAAAGAUUCCACAAAAAAAAGAAAAUCAUAGGCCAAUAUCACUGAUGAGCAUAGACGUAAAAAUCCUCAACAAAAUCCGCAAACUGAAUUCAACAGCACAUUAAAAGGAUCAUACACCAUGAUCAAGUGGGAUUUAUCCCAGGGGAUACAAGGAUUUUUCAAUACCCAUGAAUCAAUCAGUGUGAUACACCACAUUAACAAAUUGAAGAAGAAAAACCAGAUGAUCAUCUCAACAGAUGCAGAAAAAGCUUUUGAUAAAAUUCAACCUCCAUUUAUGAUUAAAAAACUCUCCAGAAACUGGGCAUAGAGGGAACCUACCUCAACAUAAUAAAGGCCAUUUACAGACACACAGCAAACAUCAUUCUCAAUGGUGAAAAACUGAAAGCAUUUCCUGUAAGAUCAGGAACAAGACAAGGAUGUCCACUCUCACCACUUUUAUUCAACAUAGUUGUACAAGUCCUAGCCACAGCUAUCAGAGAAGAAAUAAAGGGGAUCCAAAUUGGAAAAGAGUAAAACUCUCACUGUUUGCAGAUGACAUGAUACUGUAAUACCUAGAAAAUCCUAAAGAUGCUACCAGAAAACUACUAGAGCUCAUCAAUGUAUUUGGUAAAGUUGCAAGGUACAAAAUUAAUACACAGAAAUCUGUUGCAUUUCUAUGCAUUAACAAUGAAAGAAAGAGAAACUAAGGAAACAAUCCCACUUACCACUUCAUCAAAAAGAAUAAAAUACCUAGGAAUAAACCUAAGGAGGCAAAAGACCUGUACUCUGAAAACUGUAAGACACUGAUGAAAGAAAUUGAAGAUGACCCAAACAGAUGGAAAGAUACACCGUGUUCUUGGAUUGGAAGAAUCAACAUUGUCCAAAUGACUAUACUACCCAAGGCAAUCUACAGAUUCAGUGCAAUCCCUAUCAAAUUAGCAAUGGCAUUUUUCACAGAACUAGAACAAAAAAUUUUUAAAGUUGUAUGGAAACACAAAAGACCCCAAACAGUCAAAGCAAUCUUGAGAAGAAAAAAAAAAAACCAAGCUGGAGGAAUCAGGCUCCCUGACUUCAGACUAUACUACAAAGCAACAGUAGUCAAAACAGUAUGAUACUGGCACAAAAACAGACACAUAGAUCAAUGGAACAGGAUAGAAAGCCCAGAAAUAAACCCAUGCAGCUAUCAUCAAUUAAUCUAUGACAAAGGAGGCAAGAAUAUACAAUGGAGAAAAGACAGUCUCUUCAAUAAGUGGAGCUGGGAAAACUGGUCAGCUACAUGUAUUGCGUUGGCCAAAAUGUAUGUUUGGGUUUUUCCAUAAUCUUACGGAAUUAUUACCUAAUUAAUUACCUAAUUAGUCUUACAGAAAAAUCCAAACGAAAUUCUUAGCCAACCCAAUAAAAGAAUGAAAUUAGAACACUCCCUAACACCAUACACAAAAAUAAAAUCAAAAUGGAUUAAAGACCUAAAUGUAAGACUGGAUACUAUAAAACUUCUAGAGGAAAACAUAGGCAGGACACUCUUCAACAUAAAUCAUGACACUAUCUUUUUGGAUCUGUCUCCUAGAAUAAUGGAAAUAAAAACAAAGAUAAACAAAUGGGACCUAAUGAAACUUCAAAGCUUUUGCAUAGCAAAGGAAACUAUAAACAAAACAAAAAGACUAGCUAUGGAAUGGGGGAAAACAUUUGAAAGUGAUACAGCCAACAAGGGAUUAAUUUCCAAAAUAUACAAAGAGCUCGUAUAGUUCAAUAUUAAAAAACCAAACAACCCAAUCAAAAAAUGGGCAGAAUAUCUAAAUAGACAUUUCUCCAAAGAAGACAUACAGAUGGCCAAUAAGCACAUGAAAAGAUGCUCAACAUCGCUAACUAUUAGAGAAAUGCAAUUGAAAACUACAAUGAGGUAUCACCUCACACUGGUCAGAAUGGCCAUCAUCAAAAAGUCUACAAGCCAUAAAUGCUGGAGAGGGUGUGGAGAGAAGGGAAUCCUCCUACACUGUUGGUGGGAAUGUAAAUUGGUACAGCCACUAUGGAGAAGAGUAUGCAGGUUCCAUUGAAAAAACUAAAAAUAGAGCUACCAUAUCAUCCGGCAGUCCCACUCCUAGGCGAAUAUCUAGAGAAAACCAUAAUUCCAAAAGAUACAUGCACCCCAAUGGUCAUUGCAGCACUAUUUACAAUAGCCAAGGCAUGGAAACAACGUAAGUGUCCAUCAUCAGAUGAAAGGAUGAAGAAGAUGUGGUGUAUAUGGAAUAUUACUCAGCCAUUAAACAAAGAAAUGUUAUCUGCAGCAAAUGGAUGGACCUAGAGAUUAUCAUACUAAGUGAAGUCAGACAGAGAAAGAUAAAUAUCAUAUAAUGUCGAUUAUAUGUGGAAUCUUAAAAAAAAACAAUAAAAAAGAUACAAAUGAGCUCAUUUUCUAAACAGAAAGAGAUUCACAGACAUAAAAAACAAACUUACGGUUACCAAAGGUAAAAGGGGAGUGAGGGGAAGGAUAAAUUAGGAGGUUGAGAUUAAUAUAUACACUCUACUAUAUAUAAAAUAGACAAACAACAGGGACCUACUGUGUAGCAUAGGGAACUAUACUCAGUAUUUUGUGAUGGCCUAUGGAGGAAGAGAAUCUGAAGAAUAUAUGUAUGUAUGUAGAACUGAAUCACUGUGCUGUACACCUGAAACUAACAUGAUAUUGUAAAUCAA
Long non-coding RNA from Balaenoptera ricei (Rice's whale), 8959 nucleotides. RefSeq lists it as uncharacterized. The transcript is spliced from 3 exons. NCBI's taxonomy places the organism in Eukaryota, Metazoa, Chordata, Mammalia, Artiodactyla, Balaenopteridae. The record is from RefSeq and is a predicted model, not a curated record.